This 378-nucleotide transfer-messenger RNA is filed under the name Nemalion vermiculare. RNAcentral's name for it is "ssrA". It matches the Rfam family "transfer-messenger RNA". Rfam says of the family: Bacterial tmRNA, also known as 10Sa RNA or SsrA, is named for its dual tRNA and mRNA-like properties. Its role is to liberate the mRNA from a stalled ribosome. Lineage: Eukaryota; Rhodophyta; Florideophyceae; Nemaliales; Nemaliaceae. The record is from RNAcentral.
GGGACUGUCAGGUUUCUACAUGUUAGUACUUCUUAUGAAGAUUGAAAAAUUGAGUUAAGUUUACUAAACUUGACUCAACUAAAAUAAUAAAUGCAAAAAAUCAAAUUAUUCCUUUCUCUCGGAGUCUAGCUGUAGUCUAACAACUACUUUAUUUUAGCCUCUAUCGCAGCUUCGAGUAUCAGUUGUAGAAUCUAUACUCUAACAACUGAUUAUAACUAAAAUAUAUUGCUCUUGAUUUUAUACUCAGUUAUACCUGAGCACUGCAAGUAAAGUUAAAUAUAGGUUGAAACACUUCAAUUUCUAUGUAUCUAUAUGACAUAGAUACCUUCUAAGAUUACGUUAUUAACAUGGACGUGGGUUCGAGUCCCACCAGUUCCA